AUACAACUAGAUCCAUACCCCUAACUCCCUAGAUUGGAUAGCAGAUUUUCUGCUAUCCAUUUUCU
This 65-nucleotide small RNA is filed under the name Bacillus sp. CECT 9360. RNAcentral describes it as "sbrA". It matches the Rfam family "Listeria sRNA sbrA". Lineage: Bacteria; Bacillati; Bacillota; Bacilli; Caryophanales; Bacillaceae. The record is from RNAcentral.